Molecule: non-coding RNA, 107 nt
Organism: Nicotiana sylvestris (wood tobacco)
Lineage: Eukaryota; Viridiplantae; Streptophyta; Magnoliopsida; Solanales; Solanaceae
Source: Rfam
AUACCAUGGUGUGGACAUAUAACCAACAUUCCUUUAAAAUGCUCCCAUGUCUCAUGCAGUGUCUCCAUUGGUUUCUGUUUAAAGCUCAAAAUUUCAUCAAUUUGUUG